RNAcentral lists this ribosomal RNA (253 nucleotides) under uncultured bacterium. RNAcentral's name for it is "partial 16S ribosomal RNA". It matches the Rfam family "Bacterial small subunit ribosomal RNA", at positions 524 to 776 of the family's 1533-position model. The record is from RNAcentral.
UAUGUAGGGUGCGAGCGUUAAUCGGAAUUACUGGGCGUAAAGCGCACGUAGGCGGCUUGGUAUGUCGGGUGUGAAAUCCCCGGGCUCAACCUGGGAACUGCAUCCGAAACUGCCUUGCUAGAGUAUGGGAGAGGGAAGUGGAAUUUCCGGUGUAGCGGUGAAAUGCGUAGAUAUCGGAAGGAACAUCAGUGGCGAAGGCGACUUCCUGGACCAAUACUGACGCUCAGGUGCGAAAGCGUGGGGAGCAAACAGG